This 774-nucleotide ribosomal RNA is filed under the name human gut metagenome. RNAcentral describes it as "bacterial LSU rRNA". It matches the Rfam family "Bacterial large subunit ribosomal RNA", at positions 1 to 783 of the family's 2925-position model. The record is from RNAcentral.
GGUCAAGCUAAAAAGAGCGCAGGGUGGAUGCCUUGGCACUAAGAGCCGAUGAAAGACGUGAUAAGCUGCGAUAAGCUACGGGGAGGAGCACAUAUCCAUUGAUCCGUAGAUUUCUGAAUGGGGAAACCCGGCUGAGCAUACCUCAGUCACCGUACACUGAAUCCAUAGGUGUACGGAGGGAACCCGGUGAACUGAAACAUCUAAGUAGCCGGAGGAAGAGAAAGAAAACUCGAUUUUCAAAGUAGCGGCGAGCGAAAUGGAAAGAGCCCAAACCGGAGUGCGUGCACUCCGGGGUUCGGACUGCAUUUAUGACUUCUGACUGUAGCGGAACGGUUCUGGAAAGACCGGCCAGAGAGGGUGAGAGCCCCGUAGGCGAAACGGAAGGAAGCAGAGCAGGAUCCAGAGUACCACGAGACACGAGAAACCUUGUGGGAAUGAGCGGGGACCACCCCGUAAGGCUAAAUACUCCUUAGUGACCGAUAGAGCAGAGUACUGUGAAGGAAAGGUGAAAAGGACCCCGGGAGGGGAGUGAAAGAGAACCUGAAACCCUGUGUUUACAAACUGUGGAAGUACCAUACGAGUACAACCGCGUACUUUUUGUAGAACGGUCCGGCGAGUUACGUUUACUGGCGAGGUUAAGCACUUAAGGUGCGGAGCCGAAGGGAUACCAAGUCUUAACAGGGCGUUAAGUCAGUGUACGUAGACCCGAAACCGGGUGAUCUACCCAUGUCCAGGCUGAAGUUGCCGUAAAAGGCAAUGGAGGGCCGAACGCAC